Molecule: ribosomal RNA, 1446 nt
Filed under: uncultured organism
Description: 16S ribosomal RNA
Rfam family: Bacterial small subunit ribosomal RNA
Source: RNAcentral
CAGGCUUAACACAUGCAAGUCGAGGGGCAGCAUGGUCUUAGCUUGCUAAGGCCGAUGGCGACCGGCGCACGGGUGAGUAACACGUAUCCAACCUGCCGUCUACUCUUGGACAGCCUUCUGAAAGGAAGAUUAAUACAAGAUGGCAUCAUGAGUCCGCAUGUUCACAUGAUUAAAGGUAUUCCGGUAGACGAUGGGGAUGCGUUCCAUUAGAUAGUAGGCGGGGUAACGGCCCACCUAGUCUUCGAUGGAUAGGGGUUCUGAGAGGAAGGUCCCCCACAUUGGAACUGAGACACGGUCCAAACUCCUACGGGAGGCAGCAGUGAGGAAUAUUGGUCAAUGGGCGAGAGCCUGAACCAGCCAAGUAGCGUGAAGGAUGACUGCCCUAUGGGUUGUAAACUUCUUUUAUAAAGGAAUAAAGUCGGGUAUGGAUACCCGUUUGCAUGUACUUUAUGAAUAAGGAUCGGCUAACUCCGUGCCAGCAGCCGCGGUAAUACGGAGGAUCCGAGCGUUAUCCGGAUUUAUUGGGUUUAAAGGGAGCGUAGAUGGAUGUUUAAGUCAGUUGUGAAAGUUUGCGGCUCAACCGUAAAAUUGCAGUUGAUACUGGAUAUCUUGAGUGCAGUUGAGGCAGGCGGAAUUCGUGGUGUAGCGGUGAAAUGCUUAGAUAUCACGAAGAACUCCGAUUGCGAAGGCAGCCUGCUAAGCUGCAACUGACAUUGAGGCUCGAAAGUGUGGGUAUCAAACAGGAUUAGAUACCCUGGUAGUCCACACAGUAAACGAUGAAUACUCGCUGUUUGCGAUAUACUGCAAGCGGCCAAGCGAAAGCGUUAAGUAUUCCACCUGGGGAGUACGCCGGCAACGGUGAAACUCAAAGGAAUUGACGGGGGCCCGCACAAGCGGAGGAACAUGCGGUUUAAUUCGAUGAUACGCGAGGAACCUUACCCGGGCUUAAAUUGCAGAUGAAUUACGGUGAAAGCCGUAAGCCGCAAGGCAUCUGUGAAGGUGCUGCAUGGUUGUCGUCAGCUCGUGCCGUGAGGUGUCGGCUUAAGUGCCAUAACGAGCGCAACCCUUGUUGUCAGUUACUAACAGGUUCCGCUGAGGACUCUGACAAGACUGCCAUCGUAAGAUGUGAGGAAGGUGGGGAUGACGUCAAAUCAGCACGGCCCUUACGUCCGGGGCUACACACGUGUUACAAUGGGGGGUACAGAGGGCCGCUACCACGCGAGUGGAUGCCAAUCCCCAAAACCUCUCUCAGUUCGGACUGGAGUCUGCAACCCGACUCCACGAAGCUGGAUUCGCUAGUAAUCGCGCAUCAGCCACGGCGCGGUGAAUACGUUCCCGGGCCUUGUACACACCGCCCGUCAAGCCAUGGGAGCCGGGGGUACCUGAAGUGCGUAACCGCGAGGAGCGCCCUAGGGUAAAACUGGUGACUGGGGCUAAGUCAUAACA